AGUCUGAAGUAGAGGAGCUAUGUUGUCAGGAUGUUGCUCCAAUCAGGGAAAAGCUUGAUACAUCAAAUCACAACUGCAUUACUUCUCACCCUGGCCUCCAUGACGUAUCACUGAGCAAGUAUAGUAUGGAGGCAUACUACAAUGAAUUCAUUGACAGCAGUGGCCCCAUAGGUGAUGAUGAACCAAUACACAAAAUCUAUCGACAUCUGGCCUACAGAAGAUUUACAUACUGGAUUUGGCAGAAAUUGGGAAAAAAUCAUCGCAAGGUGAUUCCUUCUUGUGUUGUCCAUGUUAUACGUGCAACAUUUCCAUCAGAUGUAUAUACUGGAUUUCUUUAUUCUCACUAGAAUAAAUAUUGUUUUAAUGGAAA
Haliotis rubra (blacklip abalone) is the source of this 370-nucleotide long non-coding RNA. RefSeq lists it as uncharacterized. The record is from RefSeq and is a predicted model, not a curated record. The transcript is spliced from 2 exons. NCBI's taxonomy places the organism in Eukaryota, Metazoa, Mollusca, Gastropoda, Lepetellida, Haliotidae.